RNAcentral lists this ribosomal RNA (1281 nucleotides) under metagenome. Its description in RNAcentral is "bacterial SSU rRNA". It matches the Rfam family "Bacterial small subunit ribosomal RNA", at positions 8 to 1310 of the family's 1533-position model. The record is from RNAcentral.
AGAGUUUGAUCCUGGCUCAGGACGAACGCUGGCGGCGCGCCUAACACAUGCAAGUCGAACGAGCGAGAGAGAGCUUGCUUUCUCAAGCGAGUGGCGAACGGGUGAGUAACGCGUGAGGAACCUGCCUCAAAGAGGGGGACAACAGUUGGAAACGACUGCUAAUACCGCAUAAGCCCACGGCUCGGCAUCGAGCAGAGGGAAAAGGAGCAAUCCGCUUUGAGAUGGCCUCGCGUCCGAUUAGCUAGUUGGUGAGGUAACGGCCCACCAAGGCGACGAUCGGUAGCCGGACUGAGAGGUUGAACGGCCACAUUGGGACUGAGACACGGCCCAGACUCCUACGGGAGGCAGCAGUGGGGAAUAUUGCACAAUGGGGGAAACCCUGAUGCAGCGACGCCGCGUGGAGGAAGAAGGUCUUCGGAUUGUAAACUCCUGUUGUUGAGGAAGAUAAUGACGGUACUCAACAAGGAAGUGACGGCUAACUACGUGCCAGCAGCCGCGGUAAAACGUAGGUCACAAGCGUUGUCCGGAAUUACUGGGUGUAAAGGGAGCGCAGGCGGGAAGACAAGUUGGAAGUGAAAUCCAUGGGCUCAACCCAUGAACUGCUUUCAAAACUGUUUUUCUUGAGUAGUGCAGAGGUAGGCGGAAUUCCCGGUGUAGCGGUGGAAUGCGUAGAUAUCGGGAGGAACACCAGUGGCGAAGGCGGCCUACUGGGCACCAACUGACGCUGAGGCUCGAAAGUGUGGGUAGCAAACAGGAUUAGAUACCCUGGUAGUCCACACUGUAAACGAUGAUUACUAGGUGUUGGAGGAUUGACCCCUUCAGUGCCGCAGUUAACACAAUAAGUAAUCCACCUGGGGAGUACGACCGCAAGGUUGAAACUCAAAGGAAUUGACGGGGGCCCGCACAAGCAGUGGAGUAUGUGGUUUAAUUCGACGCAACGCGAAGAACCUUACCAAGUCUUGACAUCCUGCGACGCACAUAGAAAUAUGUGUCUCCUUCGGGACGCAGAGACAGGUGGUGCAUGGUUGUCGUCAGCUCGUGUCGUGAGAUGUUGGGUUAAGUCCCGCAACGAGCGCAACCCUUAUGGUCAGUUACUACGCAAGAGGACUCUGGCCAGACUGCCGUUGACAAAACGGAGGAAGGUGGGGAUGACGUCAAAUCAUCAUGCCCUUUAUGACUUGGGCUACACACGUACUACAAUGGCGUUAAACAAAGAGAAGCAAGACCGCGAGGUGGAGCAAAACUCAGAAACAACGUCCCAGUUCGGACUGCAGGCUGCAA